AGUCUGCACCACACCACCCUGAAUGCACUUGAUCUCACCUGAAUGCACUUGAUCUCAGAAGCUAAGCAGGGUCAGGUCUGAUUAGUACUUGGAUGGGAGUCUAUUAACCAAAUUCACCAACACUA
Fukomys damarensis (Damara mole-rat) is the source of this 125-nucleotide ribosomal RNA. The record is from Ensembl. Lineage: Eukaryota; Metazoa; Chordata; Mammalia; Rodentia; Bathyergidae.